Molecule: transfer-messenger RNA, 324 nt
Filed under: Spirochaetales bacterium
Lineage: Bacteria; Pseudomonadati; Spirochaetota; Spirochaetia; Spirochaetales
Description: partial transfer-messenger RNA
Rfam family: transfer-messenger RNA
About the family: Bacterial tmRNA, also known as 10Sa RNA or SsrA, is named for its dual tRNA and mRNA-like properties. Its role is to liberate the mRNA from a stalled ribosome.
Source: RNAcentral
GUCCCGGAUUGCAGGCGGAGCUGCCUAACUCCUUAAACUGGACAAAACAUUUAUCUGCCGAAAAUAACGAAGCAGAUUACGCUUUAGCGGCUUAGUCCGCGACGGGUGCCCGGAAUGCUGUUCCGAAGUCCGGGAUUUCCUGUAAGAAACCGGGACUUACCUUCAGGCCCGCCGGGAGCCUGGGGGGACAAUAACCGGCUGGAAGAAGGAGCGGUCCGUUUCCAAACCAAAUUCUUCUUCGAGACAAGAAAGAGGAAACUAAGCCUGUAGACGUUCGGCGGCCUGCCCUUGAGGACGCGGGUUCGAUUCCCGCCACCUCCAGUG